Molecule: non-coding RNA, 30 nt
Filed under: Homo sapiens (human)
Lineage: Eukaryota; Metazoa; Chordata; Mammalia; Primates; Hominidae
Source: RNAcentral
UAGGGAAGCUACACCCUGGGGGUCUAGGAA